Molecule: ribosomal RNA, 368 nt
Filed under: uncultured organism
Description: bacterial SSU rRNA
Rfam family: Bacterial small subunit ribosomal RNA
Source: RNAcentral
CGGAGGGUGCAAGCGUUAUCCGGAUUCACUGGGUUUAAAGGGUGCGUAGGUGGGCAAGUAAGUCAGUGGUGAAAUCUCCGGGCUUAACCCGGAAACUGCCAUUGAUACUAUUUGUCUUGAAUACUGUGGAGGUCAGCGGAAUAUGUCAUGUAGCGGUGAAAUGCUUAGAUAUGACAUAGAACACCAAUUGCGAAGGCAGCUGGCUACACAAAUAUUGACACUGAGGCACGAAAGCGUGGGGAUCAAACAGGAUUAGAUACCCUGGUAGUCCACGCCCUAAACUAUGGAUACGCGACAUUUGCGAUAAACUGCAAGUGUCUGAGCGAAAGCAUUAAGUAUCCCACCUGGGAAGUACGAUCGCAAGAUUG